UCGGAUAUGGUGUAACGGCUAACAUUGCCGCCUCUCAUUCUUACGAGAGCUGGUAUUCUUUCGCGGCAGCUCGGGGUUCGAUUCCCCGUAUCCGAA
This is a non-coding RNA of Hymenopellis radicata, 96 nucleotides long. Lineage: Eukaryota; Fungi; Basidiomycota; Agaricomycetes; Agaricales; Physalacriaceae. The record is from the annotation of a GenBank genome assembly.